CAUCCAUGGAGCCAAGGAGUAAGGUGACAAUGGAAAGAAGGCCCUCACAUGGGCAAUUAACCUUUGCUAAGCAAAUAGGUGCUUCAAAGGUAUAAAAUUUCUCAACUCACUUUGUUCUUGAGUUGAGUCUUGGUUCACAUAACUACUAGGUUUUGAAUUUCAUGGGUAAUGUUUUGUUUUUGAGUGCAUACAUGCAUGAUUCCGCCUUUAAUUGUUAAUUGCAUGCCAUAGAUGUUGCUCAAAUGAACAUGUUUUUUACAAAAUUUCCUUCAAGUGGUAUGAAGAGCCUAGGUCUAGUUGGUGAAUCCUUUUGGGUUUUGUAUUUUCGUAGUUUAUGAUUUGAAUGUUGUAAUUGUUACAAGCUUUAUUCUUGCUUCUUUGAAUGUAAAUUUUGUUAGAAAAUUUGCUAUCUCAAAUGUUGUAGAUGUAGUUCAUAUGAGCAUGAAUUUUGGAGCUAAAAUUUGGUGCCAUGUUUUUGGGGAAAUUCUGCCAAAUCCAAAGGGUGGAUUUUUGGGUUCAUGUUUGUCUUGUUAAAAGUGUUUUAAAGUGACAUUAGGAACCCCUAAGUACCCUAGUAUGGUAAUAUGUUUUUUCCCUUAAGUUUGAGAGUUUUUGGGGUGUCUUUGGGUGAAAAAUGUUCAUGGAGCUCUUAUGGGUUUUCAUGGAUGUUCUUCAUUGUUCUUGUUAUGUUUUUGGCAAGAACAAAAAGGUUGGGUAUUUUGAUUCAAAGUUUUUGGUUGUUUACAUAAAGUUUUUGUUAGUGAUGGAUGGUUUGAAUUUUCAAUCAAUACCCAUACCUUUUCUACUAUUCACAUCAUACCAAUCACUUAUACAUUUUCCUUGUUUCAAGGAAUCAUGUUUUAUGGAAAUCACUUUUUCAAACCUACUCAUCACCUUUUACUUUUGUUGAAAAAUUCAAAAGUUUUAUGACACCCUCUCUCAUCCAAAAUCGGCCACCCUAUUAAAUAUGAUACUUUUGAGGCUUUUAUGCAAUUACAUAAAGUUUUGAUACUUUUGUGUAUUUGUACUUUGACCCGAAAUUUUACAUUUUUACGUAAAGGCCCAAAAUCACUAAAGGACAAAAUGUUUUGCUCCUUUAAUGAAGUUUUUGUAUUUUGAUGAAAUUUUUGGGUUCUAGUUGUAGUUACAUGAAGUAGUGGACUUUUUUGUUUUUACAAAGUGACCUCAAAAGUUUGUGUUUUGCAAUAUAGCCCAAUGGUUGAGGUUAUUGUUUUCGGCCCAAAUUAGUUGAGAACAAAAUAGUUUUGUAUCUUUAAAUGAGAAUUGGAUUUCCAUUUCAUUUAGCUCCAUUUAAAUCAAUUCUAUGGAUACAAAAACCAAAUGAAAAUGUUGCAUUCAAGUUUAAUUAGUUAAAGCGUUAAUUAAUUAAAGAUGAUUAUAAACCUAAGCCUACGAUAAUUGAGCUAUGUGAAAGACCGUCUCAAAUUUGUUUGAACCAUGGGAACGUGUAGAUUAGAUUUUGGUUGU
RNAcentral lists this long non-coding RNA (1488 nucleotides) under Malus domestica (apple). Its description in RNAcentral is "long non-coding RNA (MDOM_LNC006017)". Lineage: Eukaryota; Viridiplantae; Streptophyta; Magnoliopsida; Rosales; Rosaceae. The record is from RNAcentral.